This 483-nucleotide ribosomal RNA is filed under the name uncultured bacterium. Its description in RNAcentral is "bacterial SSU rRNA". It matches the Rfam family "Bacterial small subunit ribosomal RNA", at positions 501 to 987 of the family's 1533-position model. The record is from RNAcentral.
CUACGUGCCAGCAGCCGCGGUAAUACGGAAGGUCCAGGCGUUAUCCGGAUUUAUUGGGUUUAAAGGGAGCGUAGGCUGGAGAUUAAGUGUGUUGUGAAAUGUAGACGCUCAACGUCUGAAUUGCAGCGCAUACUGGUUUCCUUGAGUACGCACAACGUUGGCGGAAUUCGUCGUGUAGCGGUGAAAUGCUUAGAUAUGACGAAGAACUCCGAUUGCGAAGGCAGCUGACGGGAGCGCAACUGACGCUUAAGCUCGAAGGUGCGGGUAUCAAACAGGAUUAGAUACCCUGGUAGUCCGCACAGUAAACGAUGGAUGCCCGCUGUUGGUACCUGGUAUCAGCGGCUAAGCGAAAGCAUUAAGCAUCCCACCUGGGGAGUACGCCGGCAACGGUGAAACUCAAAGGAAUUGACGGGGGCCCGCACAAGCGGAGGAACAUGUGGUUUAAUUCGACGCAACGCGAAGAACCUUACCAGGUCUUGACAU